RNAcentral lists this long non-coding RNA (300 nucleotides) under Fukomys damarensis (Damara mole-rat). RNAcentral's name for it is "lncRNA (ENSFDAG00000028340.1)". The record is from RNAcentral. Lineage: Eukaryota; Metazoa; Chordata; Mammalia; Rodentia; Bathyergidae.
CUCACAUAUCAAUAGGGUCAUAGGACAGUUGGCUAUGUAAAGAGUAAAUAUAAAGGUUUUAAUAACUAUGGUUACAAUGAAAGAAAACUCAACGAGGAUGAGGAGGCAGGGUUACAUUAUGUUUUCUUCUGAGGGAAUGGGGAACAGAAUCAUGGAAAAUAUUUUAAAAAUGGAAGUAAAAAGUCUCAAAUUCUUGGACUGAGGAUUAAGCUCAGUGACACUGCACCUACCUCCAAAGCACAAGGUUGUGAGUUCAAUCCCUGGUAUCAAAAAAAAACAACAACAACAACAACAACAACA